GUGGGUAGCAGUCAUCGGCAGAGAAAACAUGAUGUAUUUGUCACCUAUGGCUGUCCUGUGCCCUGGAGAUUGGAUUCAAUGAGAUUCAAAUCCCGGUUCUCUGCCCUCAAUGGUGGUUCAGUGCUUGUACCACCCCGUGCCAGGUCCUGGGCAAGUGUUUUCACUCGUCCCUCUUUCUCUUGGUCCUUGUGUUUCCAAGAGCUGCCUUGGGACUGGCUCAUGUCAGUCUGUGCAGGAAGCUCAGCCCGUUUACCACUUUCCACAGGAAAAUCUGCCCCCAAGCACAUCAUGAGUUUAGGACCAUUACUGAUGAUUGGUGAGGGCACAGGAAGCUACUGCACCACAAACCAUUGUCUUCUCCUACCUUGCCGGUCUAUCUGGACCUCCCUGGCCUUCCUCUGCCUUCUCCUUUCUCUGGAAGUUGCUCCUUUUCUUCUAUGAGAGCGUGCCAUCCUUGCAUAUUCAGGUCCCCAUGGGGACUCACUUCCCCCCAACAAAUACAUUUGCCUUCCUAAGGAGAGUUCUGAUGAAUACAAUGUUCUACAUAUACAUAACUGUAUCCAUUUGUGUUUUGCAGAGCAUUGAAAUCAUAUAGCAGCAUCAUCCAGACCUGCAGAAUCAUACGUGAUCAUAGCCAGUUCACACUGAAAAAAGCCUUGUAGGAGAUUCGCCAACCUAAUCAUUCAGCUUACAGGCCUUUGGGAAGCCUGUCCCCACAUCUUCUCUGAGACCUGGAAUCUGGACCUUAUGUUGAGGCUGGGCACCCACAUCUGGGAUGUGAUUCCUUUCUGCCCUCACCCCAUCAUUCUCUCUCUCCAGUUUCCCUGCGAUUUCCUCUUGGCCAUAGCCUGGUGUGCCUGAAACAAAGAAAAGAAAUGCAGAUAAUUGGAUCUUCAUGACAAUUUCCCAACUGGCCACUUUCCCUGUAACAAGACCAAGCCUGUCUCUUCCAUAUGGGUCAGCCAUAUCCCACCCACUCCUCCUGGGAUUUGACUUGGGGAAUGUGGACAGAAUCACACAGUCAGUAGAAGUUGGAAAGUAGGCGGAAGUGGCCACAUGGGGUAGGGACAUAUCAGAGUUAUGAUGAAUCAGAAGCAGAAGCCCCAAGUUGAAGAAGAGAUACAAAGCUUGGAAGCAGGAAGAGAUGGAGCGGACACACAAAGGAAUCCAACACUGGAGAACGGCAACGUAAAGGUGGCGUGCUAGGGGAAAGCUCCAGAAUUCCUGCAGCUGGGCGCUGGAGCCACCCUGAACUUUCAAAGACCUCCCUAUUCCAGUCUCCACAAUCCCAGGUCCUGGUAUGUCCCUGGAUUUGGGGGGAGAUUCUGGCUCCUUUGUAGCACCACAAUAAACCCUUAUUGCCUGAGUUAUCCCAAGUGACUCCCUGUUCUUUAUGGGCUCACAAGCCAACACACC
This 1416-nucleotide long non-coding RNA is filed under the name Homo sapiens (human). RNAcentral's name for it is "HSALNT0097744". The record is from RNAcentral. Lineage: Eukaryota; Metazoa; Chordata; Mammalia; Primates; Hominidae.